AUGGUGUCCCCGAAUUCAACAAACCAAGCCCGUCUCCAACAGCUAAAGGACUUUGACGAAUCAAAAGCUGGUGUCAAAGGGAUCGUUGACAAAGGCAUCACAAAAAUCCCAUCAAUUUUUGUCCGGUCACCGGAAUAUUCCGCCGCCGGCGACCCAAGUUCCAGCCAACCAACCCGAACCCAGUUCAGUAUCCCUAUCGUGGAUCUCGCUAACACUACCGGCCUGCAUGAUGACGUGGUCGCUGGAGUCCGGCAGGCAGCUGAGACUGUCGGGUUCUUCCAGGUGAUGAACCAUGGGAUACCCAAGAGAGUGUUGGAGGAGAUGUUGGCGGCGGCGCGUGGGUUUCACGAGCUGCUGACGGAGGUGAAGGCUGAGUACUAUAGUAGGGAGCAGAUGAGGAAGGUCAAGUUCAGGAGUAACUUUGAUUUGUAUCAGACAAAGUUUGCUAGUUGAAGGGACAGUUUGUUUUGUGUCAUGGGUCCUGAACCUCUUGAUCCUCAAGAAUUGCCUGACGUUUGCAGAGACGCAACCAUGGAGUACUCAGACCAUGUUCACAAAUUAGGUGUCACAUUGUUUGAAUUGCUAUCUGAGGCACUUGGGCUGAAAUCGGACCACCUUUUAGGCUUGGAUUGUGCAAAGGGGCAUGUAAUUCUUAGCCACUACUAUCCGCCAUGCCCCGAGCCUGAACUGACUAUGGGAACUACCACACUCAGAUCCUUCUUUUCUCACCAUACUACUUCAGGACCAAAUUGGUGGCCUCCAGGUUCUGUAUGAAAACCAGUGGGUUGAUGUUCCUCCUGUUCCUGGAGCUCUAGUUGUGAACAUUGGAGAUCUCUUGCAGCUUGUAUCCAAUGACAGGUUUAAGAGUGUGGAGCAUCAAGUGCUUGCUAACCAUGCAGGACCAAGAGUAUCUGUUGCUUGUUUUUUCACCCUGAAUCUUUACCCAGCAACAAGGUUGUACGGCCCCAUAAAGGAAUUGUUGUCCGAAGAUCAUCCGCCUCUAUACCGGGAAACCUCACUGCAAAACUUCAGUGCUCACUACGACGGAAAAGGGCUUGAUGGGAACUCUGCACUAACACGUUUCAAGUGGCAGAGGCAACAAUGAAAUAAGUCACUUGUGCUGUAGAUUAGUGGCUGUGAACAUAUGUUAAGAGUUCCUUCAAGUGGCAAAGGUCACAAUGAAAUAAGGCACCUAUACCAUAUGCCUAAACUUUGCAUUAUGUUACAAACAAACCACUUAUGUUUGAUAAUGCAAUGCCCCAAUUGAUGCUUGUAGUUUGUAAAGGCUGAAGCAGAUUUGCUUGCACAAAUGGAUCACCAUUUUAAUCUUUUGCACAAUUUUGCUCACUAAAGUCUGUGGCACUCUCUCUCUAUCUCUUUCUCUCGCAUCUUCUUCUUCAUCUGUAAAACACCCCUUUUCUGCAA
This is an RNA transcript of Prunus avium (sweet cherry), 1425 nucleotides long. It is a transcript of the gene named 1-aminocyclopropane-1-carboxylate oxidase homolog 1-like, with no coding region annotated. The record is from RefSeq and is a predicted model, not a curated record. NCBI's taxonomy places the organism in Eukaryota, Viridiplantae, Streptophyta, Magnoliopsida, Rosales, Rosaceae.